AUUGGGACUGAGACACGGCCCAAACUCCUACGGGAGGCAGCAGUGAGGAAUAUUGGACAAUGGGGGCAACCCUGAUCCAGCAAUGCCAUGUGUGUGAAGAAGGCCUUAGGGUUGUAAAGCACUUUAGUUGGGGAAGAAAGCUUUGAGGUUAAUAGCCUUGAGGAAGGACGUUACCCAAAGAAUAAGCACCGGCUAACUCCGUGCCAGCAGCCGCGGUAAUACGGGGGAUGCAAGCGUUAAUCGGAAUUACUGGGCGUAAAGGGUCUGUAGGUGGUUUGUUAAGUCAGAUGUGAAAGCCCAGGGCUCAACCUUGGAACUGCAUUUGAUACUGGCAAACUAGAGUACGGUAGAGGAAUGGGGAAUUUCUGGUGUAGCGGUGAAAUGCGUAGAGAUCAGAAGGAACACCAAUGGCGAAGGCAACAUUCUGGACCGAUACUGACACUGAGGGACGAAAGCGUGGGGAUCAAACAGGAUUAGAUACCCUGGUAGUCCACGCUGUAAACGAUGAGUACUAGCUGUUGGAGUCGGUGUAAAGGCUCUAGUGGCGCAGCUAACGCGAUAAGUACUCCGCCUGGGGACUACGGCCGCAAGGCUAAAACUCAAAGGAAUUGACGGGGACCCGCACAAGCGGUGGAGCAUGUGGUUUAAUUCGAUGCAACGCGAAGAACCUUACCUGGUCUUGACAUCCUGCGAGCUUUCUAGAGAUAGAUUGGUGCCUUCGGGAACGCAGUGACAGGUGCUGCACGGCUGUCGUCAGCUCGUGUUGUGAAAUGUUGGGUUAAGUCCCGCAACGAGCGCAACCCCUAUUGAUAGUUACCAUCAUUAAGUUGGGUACUCUAUUGAGACUGCCGCUGACAAGGCGGAGGAAGGUGGGGACGACGUCAAGUCAUCAUGGCCCUUACGACCAGGGCUACACACGUGCUACAAUGGGUAUUACAGAGGGC
This 944-nucleotide ribosomal RNA is filed under the name Francisella-like endosymbiont. RNAcentral describes it as "bacterial SSU rRNA". It matches the Rfam family "Bacterial small subunit ribosomal RNA", at positions 312 to 1247 of the family's 1533-position model. Lineage: Bacteria; Pseudomonadati; Pseudomonadota; Gammaproteobacteria; Thiotrichales; Francisellaceae. The record is from RNAcentral.